GGGGAUUUGGCUCAGUGGUAGAGCACUUGCCUAGCAAGUGCAAGGUCCUGGGUUCGGUCCCCAGCUCCA
This 69-nucleotide transfer RNA is filed under the name Rattus norvegicus (Norway rat). It matches the Rfam family "tRNA". Rfam says of the family: Transfer RNA (tRNA) molecules are approximately 80 nucleotides in length. Their secondary structure includes four short double-helical elements and three loops (D, anti-codon, and T loops). The record is from Rfam by way of RNAcentral. Lineage: Eukaryota; Metazoa; Chordata; Mammalia; Rodentia; Muridae.